Molecule: ribosomal RNA, 247 nt
Filed under: uncultured bacterium
Lineage: Bacteria
Description: partial 16S ribosomal RNA
Rfam family: Bacterial small subunit ribosomal RNA
Source: RNAcentral
AUACGUAUGGUGCAAGCGUUAUCCGGAUUUACUGGGUGUAAAGGGAGUGUAGGUGGUCUGACAAGUCAGAGGUGAAAGCCCGGGGCUCAACCCUGGGACUGCCUUUGAAACUGUCAGACUAGAGUGCAGGAGAGGUAAGUGGAAUUCCUAGUGUAGCGGUGAAAUGCGUAGAUAUUAGGAGGAACACCAGUGGCGAAGGCGACUUACUGGACUGUAACUGACGCUGAGUCACGAAAGCGUGGGUAGC